Molecule: ribosomal RNA, 468 nt
Filed under: uncultured bacterium
Lineage: Bacteria
Description: partial 16S ribosomal RNA
Rfam family: Bacterial small subunit ribosomal RNA
Source: RNAcentral
GACGAACGCUGGCGGCGUGCUUAACACAUGCAAGUCGAACGGAAAGGCCCUGCUUUUGUGGGGUGCUCGAGUGGCGAACGGGUGAGUAACACGUGAGUAACCUGCCCUUGACUUUGGGAUAACUUCAGGGAACUGGGGCUAAUACCGGAUAGGAGCUCCUGCUGCAUGGUGGGGGUUGGAAAGUUUCGGCGGUUGGGGAUGGACUCGCGGCUUAUCAGCUUGUUGGUGGGGUAGUGGCUUACCAAGGCUUUGACGGGUAGCCGGCCUGAGAGGGUGACCGGCCACAUUGGGACUGAGAUACGGCCCAGACUCCUACGGGAGGCAGCAGUGGGGAAUACUGCACAAUGGGCGGAAGCCUGAUGCAGCAACGCCGCGUGCGGGAUGACGGCCUUCGGGUUGUAAACCGCUUUCGCCUGUGACGAAGCGUGAGUGACGGUAAUGGGUAAAGAAGCACCGGCUAACUACGUG